Molecule: small RNA, 3059 nt
Filed under: Pan troglodytes (chimpanzee)
Lineage: Eukaryota; Metazoa; Chordata; Mammalia; Primates; Hominidae
Description: retained intron
Source: RNAcentral
CGGACGCGGCCGCCGCCGUCGCCGCCGUCGCCGCCAUCUGUCACCUGCGCUCCGACAUCAGCAGCUAGUCGCCCGUGUCCCGCCUGUCUCCUCGGCGGAGCCUGCUGCCCGUCCUGCCACCUCUCUGCUCUGUUCUUGUCUCUGCCUUCAUCCCCGAAUGGAUCUGGUAGGAGUGGCAUCGCCUGAGCCCGGGACGGCAGCGGCCUGGGGACCCAGCAAGUGUCCAUGGGCUAUUCCUCAAAAUACAAUAUCUUGUUCUUUGGCUGAUGUAAUGAGUGAACAGCUGGCCAAAGAAUUGCAGUUAGAAGAAGAAGCUGCCAUUUUUCCUGAAGUUGCUGUUGCUGAAGGACCAUUUAUUACUGGAGAAAACAUUGAUACUUCCAGUGACCUUAUGCUGGCUCAGAUGCUACAGAUGGAAUAUGACAGAGAAUAUGAUGCACAGCUUAGGCGUGAAGAAAAAAAAUUCAAUGGAGAUAGCAAAGUUUCCAUUUCCUUUGAAAAUUAUCGAAAAGUGCAUCCUUAUGAAGACAGCGAUAGCUCUGAAGAUGAGGUUGACUGGCAGGAUACUCGUGAUGAUCCCUACAGACCAGCAAAACCGGUUCCCACUCCUAAAAAGGGCUUUAUUGGAAAAGGAAAAGAUAUCACCACCAAACAUGAUGAAGUAGUAUGUGGGAGAAAGAACACAGCAAGAAUGGAAAAUUUUGCACCUGAGUUUCAGGUAGGAGAUGGAAUUGGAAUGGAUUUAAAACUAUCAAACCAUGUUUUCAAUGCUUUAAAACAACAUGCCUACUCAGAAGAACGUCGAAGUGCCCGCCUACAUGAGAAAAAGGAGCAUUCUACAGCAGAAAAAGCAGUUGAUCCUAAGACACGUUUACUUAUGUAUAAAAUGGUCAACUCUGGAAUGUUGGAGACAAUCACUGGCUGUAUUAGUACAGGAAAGGAGUCUGUUGUCUUUCAUGCAUAUGGAGGGAGCAUGGAGGAUGAAAAGGAAGAUAGUAAAGUUAUACCUACAGAAUGUGCCAUCAAGGUAUUUAAAACAACCCUUAAUGAGUUUAAGAAUCGUGACAAAUAUAUUAAAGAUGAUUUCAGGUUUAAAGAUCGCUUCAGUAAACUAAAUCCACGUAAGAUCAUCCGCAUGUGGGCAGAAAAAGAAAUGCACAAUCUCGCAAGAAUGCAGAGAGCUGGAAUUCCUUGUCCAACAGUUGUACUACUGAAGAAACACAUUUUAGUUAUGUCUUUUAUUGGCCAUGAUCAAGUUCCAGCCCCUAAAUUAAAAGAAGUAAAGCUCAAUAGUGAAGAAAUGAAAGAAGCCUACUAUCAAACUCUUCAUUUGAUGCGGCAGUUAUAUCAUGAAUGUACGCUUGUCCAUGCUGACCUCAGUGAGUAUAACAUGCUGUGGCAUGCUGGAAAGGUGAGGAGCACAUUUUGUUAACAUUCAGAUUUAAUUACUGUAAGUAAAAUUUAAAAUGUAAAUACAUCAGUUCAUGUUCUGUAUUGAAAUAGGUCUGGUUGAUUGAUGUCAGUCAGUCAGUAGAACCUACCCACCCUCACGGCCUGGAGUUCUUGUUCCGGGACUGCAGGAAUGUCUCGCAGUUUUUCCAGAAAGGAGGAGUCAAGGAAGCCCUUAGUGAACGAGAACUCUUCAAUGCUGUUUCAGGCUUAAACAUCACAGCAGAUAAUGAAGCUGAUUUUUUAGCUGAGAUAGAAGCUUUGGAGAAAAUGAAUGAAGAUCACGUUCAGAAGAAUGGAAGGAAAGCUGCUUCAUUUUUGAAAGAUGAUGGAGACCCACCACUACUAUAUGAUGAAUAGCACUAAUAUCCACUGCUUCAGUGUUAACACAGCAGUGAUUGUCAGCUGCCAAUAGCAAAUGAAGUUAUGGGUGACUUGAAAUACCAAAACAUGAGGAGUGGGCAAUGGUGCUUCUGUGCUUUUCCCCCUUGUAACCCAUGUGCCAGAUGUGUGGAAUUUUUAGCUCAGCAUUGAGAGAAUAAAAUGUCACUACCUCUCAUCUUAUGAACAGGAUAAUAUAAUUCUUUAACAGCUAUAGGUUAUCUGGCUGAAGUAGACCUAAUUUUAUGUGACUUGUGGUGUAAAAUGUCUUGAUGAUAAUUUUUGAAACUUGGGUAACACUUCCAAAUAUGGGAGGAAAGGACAGAUGUGUUUACAAGGGAGGAUUUUACAACAUACUUGCUUUAUUCACCUCCCUGUUUUGUGUUGCGUCUUUCCUUGAAUAUUUUAUUGGCCCAGAGUUAGCCUUUCUCAAUUAUGUUUCCAGACUGUGGCCAUGAUUCUAAAGGAAAAUGUGUGCUCUUUAGUGGGUAGAACAAAUGGAAAUUUGGUUUCAGAAUGGCUGACAGAAAUCGACAUAAGUCAUGUAAUUUUUGUUGAUAUAUCAUGAAAAUGAACAGAAUUCUUUUUCCAUACUUACAUCUAAGAAAAGGCAUCAUAGGUUUCUGAGAGAGAUAACUAUAUAACAGCUUUUUAAUUAUCCAGUCAACUUUCAGCUUUUCUACAUUUAGGUAAAAUGGUUAGGAUAUAACUCAUGGUGUGGCUAAUCUACAUUUAUCAAUAAAAUGUAAAUUAUCUGAAAGGACAGAAUAUAAGAUUUAACCAUGUUUGAUGUAUUUUAAUUUAGUUAAUGAAGCAAAAUUCAGUUUAUAUUUCACUAGAACUGUGUACUUGAUUGAUUUUCAGAGAAAUAUCACAAAUUAGAAAUAUUAAAUCUAAGGAUGAAAGGUAUAUAUAAAACAAUUUGGGGGCCAGGCACGAUGGCUCAAACCUGUAAUCCCAGCACUUUGGGAGGCCAAGGCGGGUGGAUCACUUGAGGUCAGGAGUUCAAGACCAGCCUUGGCAAAAUGGCGAAACCCUGUCUCUACUAAAAAUACAAAAAUUAGCCGGGUGUGGUGGCACUUCUCUGUAAUCUCAGCUUCUCAGGAGGCUGAGACAGGAGAAUCGCCUGAACCUGGGAGGCGGAGGUUGCAGUGAGCUGAGAUCAUGCCACUGCACUCCAGCCUGGGUGACAGAGGGGAAACUCCGUCUCCAGGAAAAAAAAAAAACAC